CUUAAAGCGGGUGUGUUACGCUAACAGUGGAUACGGUGACCAGUGCCACCAAUUAGAUCUGGUGUCACAAUAGCUUGGAUUUAAAAAAAAAAACACUUUUUUCACUGUUAUAGAUUGAAUAGCAGUCAGGGUCCUUAAAGCGGGUGUGUUACGCUAACAGUGGAUACGGUGACCAGUGCCACCAAUUAGAUCUGGUGUCACAAUAGCUUGGAUUUAAAAAAAAAAC
Non-coding RNA from Pelobates cultripes (western spadefoot toad), 226 nucleotides. Lineage: Eukaryota; Metazoa; Chordata; Amphibia; Anura; Pelobatidae. The record is from the annotation of a GenBank genome assembly.